GGGAACCGACACAACGUACUUUUCUUACAAAUCCUUCAAGUCGUACAAUUUACCUAUGCAAAAUUGCUAUUGUGAUCACAGAAAUAAUCUCAAGCUGCCCGUGCCAGUGUGGCUAGUGCCAAUAAUAUAAACAAGCUUUCGUUAACUGGUAGGGAUGCAACUACCUGAACAAUAUAAGGAGAAUUUCGACGUUGGGCCUUCGACGCUCAUUUUCUCCACAAAUUUGCUGAAACUAAAUAUCGGUCUUGGAGUAAACUGGCGUGGACAUGCCGACCCUGUCCACGUCCUGGCUGCUGUUAAGACUGAGAGGUUUCGAAGUAGGUUCGAAUUAAAUAACGUUUAUUUUGGUAUAACCGGGAAACGGACGUGAAGAAAAUGGCGGAAUGAACGUCGCAGGACUUGGGAUGUCUUGGACGGGAAACUCGUGUAUGACGGCCCGUCUGAUGGAAUGGACCUAUCCCCUAAUAAACAAGAUUUUGAUCUAGACAAGUCUAGACAAACAUUUCAUCACAGCUUGAAAGAGCAUCACAAAAUUAGUAAUAUUCCGAAGUUUCGUUGCGAAAUAUUGUAAAAUGCGGAUAAUAUAGCCCUG
This is a non-coding RNA of Paramuricea clavata, 592 nucleotides long. Lineage: Eukaryota; Metazoa; Cnidaria; Anthozoa; Malacalcyonacea; Plexauridae. The record is from the annotation of a GenBank genome assembly.